RNAcentral lists this long non-coding RNA (779 nucleotides) under Homo sapiens (human). Its description in RNAcentral is "non-protein coding lnc-SOWAHB-5:7". Lineage: Eukaryota; Metazoa; Chordata; Mammalia; Primates; Hominidae. The record is from RNAcentral.
AAACGACCGUCUCCGCUGCCAUGAGAUGCCGACAGCCUGUGCGCUGGCCGCCACCCCCUGCUCCAUCAGGUGCUGGAAUCUGAGUAAAAGCCUGGGCGCGAGCUCCCAGCCCCGGGGCCUGCCACCGGCUCCACGAAGCGGGCAGCUCCAGCGGCCGCCGGGAGAAGGAAGGGCGACCGGGGGAGACGGGUCGCAGGGACAGCACGUGGCGGAAAGUUAGCCCCGGACUAGCACGCCCCACCCGGAGAAGCCGGCCUGGAAGGGGCUGCGGACCACCAGGCGGAGCGGUGGGCGACCGAAGUGCGGCUGGGCUGGCCUCCUCGUCUCCGCACUGGAAGAAUUGCCCUUCCGCAAGUCUUCCCUUCCCACAUGGGGGCCCUCCAGGCCGCACCUCGGUCGCCCACCGCUUCCCUUGAGAAGGGAGACUAAAGACAGGCAUCUGGAAGCUGUCACUGUGGCGCGCGGGCAGACAGGGGAUCCCAUUGGAGAGGAAGAGCCGUAGUAGUCGCUGCUGCCUUCGGCCGACCCAACGGCCGCCUGCUUGGGAGGAAGAAAAAGAACGCCCCCGCUGAAGAAUUAAGGCAGCCAUUGGUUGCUCUAGGGGGUUACAAGAUGGGCAGUACAAUAGAGGAUGGACUGGAGUUGGAAAAGACUAAAGCAGCAAGUUUGAUAAGGAGGCUACAGCAAUAGUCCAGGUGAAAGACGCAAGAGCCCAAAAUGCAGCAGUGGCCAAGGGAAUGGAUCUGAGAUAAAGUUCAGAAGAUAGAGUUGGCAGGGCA